UAUAAUAAUUAUGAAGGCGCAGUAUUCUAGUCGGACGAACUGCUUGGAAGACGUUAAAAGCGUUAAAUGGCACAUCUGUGAAGUUUCUGGUGUUGGCUUUGGUUGCCCAAACUGGGGCUUAUGCUGGAAGUUAAGAUUUUUGGGAGCACCAUAAUGGCAUAUGGUGCCCAACCCAAUUAUCGUGGAGACUCAAAAGCGGUGGUCUAUUUGUGAUUACCAUUUGAGAAGAACCUGCAUUGCGGUAAAAAAAUUGCUGUGUGCAGUGUAGCCAGCCUUGAGUGGAUAAGUUGGGAUAAAGUUAAUUGGAAAUUCUUUUUGGCCAAAUUGAGUUUCCGGACCAAUUUUAAACUGGCUAUAACUUUUGAAAUUCUCUCUGCAAAAAAGGACAAGAGCAAUAAUUCGUCUGUUUGAGAAAUUCUCUAGACUGUUCGCAAUUUGCGUUUCACUUCGGGGAUUAUAGUGUGGUCUAAGUGGCGAUUCGGUGAUGUCUACCCCUUAAAAGGAAACUGCUUGUUCGGCGACGACAAGUGGGGUGGCGGGAAAUCCAACCGAACCUAUGCUGCAAGGUUUACUCGAAGGGAAGCCUUU
RNAcentral lists this small RNA (588 nucleotides) under pig gut metagenome. The record is from RNAcentral.